CCCUACGGGAGGCAGCAGUAGGGAAUCUUCGGCAAUGGGGGCAACCCUGACCGAGCAACGCCGCGUGAGUGAAGAAGGUUUUCGGAUCGUAAAACUCUGUUGUUAGAGAAGAACGUGUGUGAGAGUGGAAAGUUCACACAGUGACGGUAACUUACCAGAAAGGGACGGCUAACUACGUGCCAGCAGCCGCGGUAAUACGUAGGUCCCGAGCGUUAUCCGGAUUUAUUGGGCGUAAAGCGAGCGCAGGCGGUGUGUUAAGACUGAUGUUAAAG
This 272-nucleotide ribosomal RNA is filed under the name uncultured bacterium. RNAcentral describes it as "partial 16S ribosomal RNA". It matches the Rfam family "Bacterial small subunit ribosomal RNA", at positions 337 to 600 of the family's 1533-position model. The record is from RNAcentral.